This 440-nucleotide ribosomal RNA is filed under the name uncultured bacterium. Its description in RNAcentral is "partial 16S ribosomal RNA". It matches the Rfam family "Bacterial small subunit ribosomal RNA", at positions 338 to 795 of the family's 1533-position model. The record is from RNAcentral.
CCUACGGGAGGCAGCAGUCGGGAAUAUUGCGCAAUGGAGGAAACCCUGAUGCAGCGACGCCGCGUGUGGGAAGACGGUCUUCUGGAUUGUAAACCACUGUCCCCAGGGACGAAAAUGACGGUACCUGGGGAGGAAGCUCCGGCUAACUACGUGCCAGCAGCCGCGGUAAUACGUAGGGAGCAAGCGUUGUCCGGAAUUACUGGGUGUAAAGGGAGCGUAGGCGGGGAUGCAAGUUGGGUGUCAAAACUACCGGCUCAACCGAUAGUCGCACUCAAAACUGCAACUCUUGAGUGAAGUAGAGGCAGGCGGAAUUCCUAGUGUAGCGGUGAAAUGCGUAGAUAUUAGGAGGAACACCAGUGGCGAAGGCGGCCUGCUGGGCUUUUACUGACGCUGAGGCUCGAAAGUGUGGGGAGCAAACAGGAUUAGAUACCCCUGUAGUC